Molecule: ribosomal RNA, 315 nt
Filed under: uncultured eukaryote
Lineage: Eukaryota
Description: partial 18S ribosomal RNA
Rfam family: Eukaryotic small subunit ribosomal RNA
Source: RNAcentral
CCCUUAGAUGUCCUGGGCCGCACGCGUGCUACACUGACACUUACACCGAGUUUUUCCAAUGCCGAAAGGCCAUUGGUAAUCAGCAAUAAGUGUCGUGAUGGGGAUAGACUUUUGCAAUUUUUGGUCUUCAACGAGGAAUUCCUAGUAAACGCAAGUCAUCAACUUGCAUUGAUUACGUCCCUGCCCUUUGUACACACCGCCCGUCGCACCUACCGAUUGAAUGGUCCGGUGAAGCCUCCGGAUUGGCGUGCACCCUCGGGUGCUGCCGAGAAGUUGGCUAAACCUUACCAUUUAGAGGAAGGUGAAGUCGUAACA